This 22-nucleotide microRNA is filed under the name Polistes canadensis. RNAcentral describes it as "pca-miR-932-5p". Its record names the gene pca-miR-932-5p. Lineage: Eukaryota; Metazoa; Arthropoda; Insecta; Hymenoptera; Vespidae. The record is from miRBase by way of RNAcentral.
UCAAUUCCGUUGUGCAUUGCAG